RNAcentral lists this ribosomal RNA (514 nucleotides) under uncultured bacterium. RNAcentral's name for it is "partial 16S ribosomal RNA". It matches the Rfam family "Bacterial small subunit ribosomal RNA", at positions 28 to 523 of the family's 1533-position model. The record is from RNAcentral.
GAUGAACGCUGGCGGCGUGCCUAAUACAUGCAAGUCGAGCGAACAGAUGAGAAGCUUGCUUCUCUGAUGUUAGCGGCGGACGGGUGAGUAACACGUGGGUAACCUACCUAUAAGACUGGGAUAACUCCGGGAAACCGGGGCUAAUACCGGAUAAUAUUUUGAACCGCAUGGUUCAAUAGUGAAAGACGGUUUCGGCUGUCACUUAUAGAUGGACCCGCGCCGUAUUAGCUAGUUGGUAAGGUAACGGCUUACCAAGGCGGCGAUACGUAGCCGACCUGAGAGGGUGAUCGGCCACACUGGAACUGAGACACGGUCCAGACUCCUACGGGAGGCAGCAGUAGGGAAUCUUCCGCAAUGGGCGAAAGCCUGACGGAGCAACGCCGCGUGAGUGAUGAAGGUCUUCGGAUCGUAAAACUCUGUUGUUAGGGAAGAACAAAUUUGUUAGUAACUGAACGAGUCUUGACGGUACCUAACCAGAAAGCCACGGCUAACUACGUGCCAGCCGCCGCAGUAA